This 253-nucleotide ribosomal RNA is filed under the name uncultured bacterium. RNAcentral's name for it is "partial 16S ribosomal RNA". It matches the Rfam family "Bacterial small subunit ribosomal RNA", at positions 524 to 776 of the family's 1533-position model. The record is from RNAcentral.
UACGUAGGGGGCUAGCGUUGUCCGGAAUCAUUGGGCGUAAAGCGCGUGUCGGCGGUCCGGUAAGUCCGCUGUGAAAGUCGAGGGCUCAACCCUCGAAUGCCGGUGGAUACUGUCGGGCUUGAGUACGGGAGAGGCGAGUGGAAUUCCUGGUGUAGCGGUGAAAUGCGCAGAUAUCAGGAGGAACACCGAUUGCGAAGGCAGCUCGCUGGAACGUUACUGACGCUGAGACGCGAAAGCGUGGGGAGCAAACAGG